GCUUAUUGUUUGGUUGCCAUUGGAGGCUCUGAAAGUUUCUACAGCACAUUCGAAGCUGAGUUAGCGGAUGUUAUCCCUGUAGUUAAAACUUCCAUUGCAGGCACUAGGAUUAUUGGCCGUCUUUGUGCUGGAAACAAAAAUGGGCUUCUGUUGCCCCACAACACCACCGACCAAGAACUUCAACAUUUGAGAAACAGUCUACCUGAUAGUGUUGUGGUUCAACGAAUUGAAGAGAGAUUAUCUGCCUUGGGAAAUUGUAUAGCCUGCAAUGACCACGUUGCUCUAACACAUACAGAUCUUGACAAGGAAACAGAGGAAAUGAUUGCAGAUGUUC
RNAcentral lists this unclassified non-coding RNA (334 nucleotides) under Hevea brasiliensis (rubber tree). The record is from RNAcentral. Lineage: Eukaryota; Viridiplantae; Streptophyta; Magnoliopsida; Malpighiales; Euphorbiaceae.